GAUGAACGCUGGCGGCGUGCCUAAUACAUGCAAGUCGAGCGAACGGACGAGAAGCUUGCUUUUCUGAUGUUAGCGGCGGACGGGUGAGUAACACGUGGAUAACCUACCUAUAAGACUGGGAUAACUUCGGGAAACCGGAGCUAAUACCGGAUAAUAUUUUGAACCGCAUGGUUCAAAAGUGAAAGACGGUCUUGCUGUCACUUAUAGAUGGAUCCGCGCUGCAUUAGCUAGUUGGUAAGGUAACGGCUUACCAAGGCAACGAUGCAUAGCCGACCUGAGAGGGUGAUCGGCCACACUGGAAUUGAGACACGGUCCAGACUCCUACGGGAGGCAGCAGUAGGGAAUCUUCCGCAAUGGGCGAAAGCCUGACGGAGCAACGCCGCGUGAGUGAUGAAGGUCUUCGGAUCGUAAAACUCUGUUAUUAGGGAAGAACAUAUGUGUAAGUAACUGUGCACAUCUUGACGGUACCUAAUCAGAAAGCCACGGCUAACUACGUG
RNAcentral lists this ribosomal RNA (497 nucleotides) under uncultured bacterium. RNAcentral's name for it is "partial 16S ribosomal RNA". It matches the Rfam family "Bacterial small subunit ribosomal RNA", at positions 28 to 507 of the family's 1533-position model. The record is from RNAcentral.